GGCCAGACUCCUACGGGAGGCAGCAGUGAGGAAUAUUGGUCAAUGGGCUUACGCCUGAACCAGCCAAGUCGCGUGAGGGAAGACUGCCCUAUGGGUUGUAAACCUCUUUUGUCAGGGAGCAAUUGGCGCUACGUGUAGCGUUAUCGAGAGUACCUGAAGAAAAAGCAUCGGCUAACUCCGUGCCAGCAGCCGCGGUAAUACGGAGGGGGCAAGCGUUAUCCGGAUUUACUGGGUGUAAAGGGAGCGUAGACGGCAAUACAAGUCGGAAGUGAAAUACCCGGGCUCAACCUGGGAACUGCUUUGGAAACUGUAUGGCUGGAGUGCUGGAGAGGUAAGCGGAAUUCCUAGUGUAGCGGUGAAAUGCGUAGAUAUUAGGAGGAACACCAGUGGCGAAGGCGGCUUACUGGACAGUAACUGACGUUGAGGCUCGAAAGCGUGGGGAGCAAACAGGAUUAGAUACCCUCGUACAC
Molecule: ribosomal RNA, 470 nt
Filed under: uncultured bacterium
Lineage: Bacteria
Description: bacterial SSU rRNA
Rfam family: Bacterial small subunit ribosomal RNA
Source: RNAcentral